This 787-nucleotide long non-coding RNA is filed under the name Mytilus galloprovincialis (Mediterranean mussel). Lineage: Eukaryota; Metazoa; Mollusca; Bivalvia; Mytilida; Mytilidae. The record is from RNAcentral.
CUUAAGCUAACAUAAAUAGUGUCUUAAAGAUUAAUUUUGAUAUAAAUUGAAAAACUUGAUAGGUAAUCAAAAUGUUGUAGAGUAUACACUUUGUUUAAAACUUGUCUAAAAUAAGAACUAAAGCAGUGUAGUAGUAGUUGAUGAAAAGUAUUUAAGUCAUGUACUUUGAGGGUAUGACUCACGAUAGAUUUGGAGUCGGAGCAAACUACCAAAGAAAACGGGCUUACGCCGAAAAAUGGGUAUGACACCGAGGUAGAUUUGGAGUUCGAGCAAACUAUCAAGAAUGUGGGCUUAUCACCUAGUAAUUUGAUUAAAUACAUAGAGGAUAAAAACUGCUUAAAUAUGAAAAAUAAAAAAAAAAGACACAUAGAACGCCAUUAAGCCUGUCAAAUAAAACAACACCGUUGAAAGAAAAAUAAAUAGAAUCCAUCUUAAAAUAAAAAGCUUUGAAAAAUCUUGUCCUUUGAAAAGCGUUUUAAAAUAUAAGUAGUUAGAUCGUCAUUUACUUAAAACAAUAAAGUUUAACUUAAUGAAAAAUUUAUAAUGCUAAAUAAACUGAUAAAUAAAAUUGCGGGAGCAAUUUUUUUCGAACAACAGGGAUAUAUAAUGAUGGAAAAUUGCAUGUUGUAAAAGAAAAUAAAAUAAAGUAAACUUAGAUAAAUAAACUAUUAAAUAAAUAAAAUUGAAUUAAAUUGCAUGGCUAAAGCUCUAAGACAAAGUAGGCGACGUAAGAUUAAGUUAUAAAUAGUUUCGUCUUUUUAUAAAUAAUAUAGUUAAUCUCAUUUCU